GCAAACUUGGUCAUUUAGAGGAAGUAAAAGUCGUAACAAGGUAACCGUAGGUGAACCUGCGGUUGGAUCAUUACUGAACUGUGGGAAAGAAUUGAACCCCCUUUGUGUGAACUGUUAUUAUUUCUUUGGUGGCCCACGCGACUUCGGGCCACCUAACUGUUAUCAAAUUCUUUGAUGUAUAUUUUAUCUUACAUGAUUGUUUGAGUUGAAUCUCCAAUAAACAAAAAACAACUUUUGACAAUGGAUCUCUUGGCUCUUGCAUCAAUGAAGAACGCAGC
This 278-nucleotide unclassified non-coding RNA is filed under the name uncultured fungus. RNAcentral's name for it is "partial contains small subunit ribosomal RNA, internal transcribed spacer 1, and 5.8S ribosomal RNA". The stretch from base 1 to 73 matches the Rfam family "Eukaryotic small subunit ribosomal RNA", at positions 1759 to 1831 of the family's 1831-position model. The record is from RNAcentral. Lineage: Eukaryota; Fungi.